RNAcentral lists this ribosomal RNA (428 nucleotides) under Gemmatimonadota bacterium. RNAcentral describes it as "Gemmatimonadetes bacterium partial 16S ribosomal RNA". It matches the Rfam family "Bacterial small subunit ribosomal RNA", at positions 355 to 776 of the family's 1533-position model. The record is from RNAcentral. Lineage: Bacteria; Pseudomonadati; Gemmatimonadota.
UAGGGAAUCUUCGGCAAUGGACGAAAGUCUGACCGAGCAACGCCGCGUGAGUGAAGAAGGUUUUCGGAUCGUAAAACUCUGUUGUUAGAGAAGAACAAGGACGUAGUAACUGAACGUCCCCUGACGGUAUCUAACCAGAAAGCCACGGCUAACUACGUGCCAGCAGCCGCGGUAAUACGUAGGUGGCAAGCGUUGUCCGGAUUUAUUGGGCGUAAAGCGAGCGCAGGCGGUUUAUUAAGUCUGAUGUGAAAGCCCCCGGCUCAACCGGGGAGGGUCAUUGGAAACUGGGAGACUUGAGUGCAGAAGAGGGGAGUGGAAUUCCAUGUGUAGCGGUGAAAUGCGUAGAUAUAUGGAGGAACACCAGUGGCGAAGGCGGCUCUCUGGUCUGUAACUGACGCUGAGGCUCGAAAGCGUGGGGAGCAAACAGG